This 215-nucleotide long non-coding RNA is filed under the name Mytilus galloprovincialis (Mediterranean mussel). The record is from RNAcentral. Lineage: Eukaryota; Metazoa; Mollusca; Bivalvia; Mytilida; Mytilidae.
AUGUAUUUGGUUUUGAUGUUAUAUUUGUUUUUCUCGUGGGAUUUUGUUUGAUGCUUGGUCCGUUUCUGUGUGUGUUACAUUGUAGUGUUGUCUCGUUGUUCUCCUCUUAUAUUUAAUGCGUUUCCCUCAGUUUUAGUUUGUUACCCCGAUUUUGUUUUUUGUCCAUGGAUUUAUGAGUUUGAACAGUGGUAUACUACUGUUGCCUUUAUUUAUUC